CAUUACCGAGUUUACAACUCCCAAACCCCUGUGAACAUACCUUAAUGUUGCCUCGGCGGAUCAGCCCGCGCCCCGUAAAACGGGACGGCCCGCCAGAGGACCCAAACUCUAAUGUUUCUUAUUGUAACUUCUGAGUAAAACAAACAAAUAAAUCAAAACUUUCAACAACGGAUCUCUUGGUUCUGGCAUCGAUGAAGAACGCAGCAAAAUGCGAUAAGUAAUGUGAAUUGCAGAAUUCAGUGAAUCAUCGAAUCUUUGAACGCACAUUGCGCCCGCUGGUAUUCCGGCGGGCAUGCCUGUUCGAGCGUCAUUUCAACCCUCAAGCCCCCGGGUUUGGUGUUGGGGAUCGGCUCUGCCCUUCUGGGCGGUGCCGCCCCCGAAAUACAUUGGCGGUCUCGCUGCAGCCUCCAUUGCGUAGUAGCUAACACCUCGCAACUGGAACGCGGCGCGGCCAUGCCGUAAAACCCCAACUUCUGAAUGUUGACCUCGGAUCAGGUAGGAAUACCCGCUGAACUUAAGCAUAUCAA
Molecule: ribosomal RNA, 527 nt
Filed under: Fusarium acuminatum
Lineage: Eukaryota; Fungi; Ascomycota; Sordariomycetes; Hypocreales; Nectriaceae
Also listed under: 2 other names
Description: eukaryotic LSU rRNA
Rfam family: 5.8S ribosomal RNA (bases 157-310)
Source: RNAcentral